GCCAGUUUGGCUCAAUGGAUAGAGCGUUGGCCUGCAGACCAAAUGUCCCUGGUUCGAUUCCGGUCAAGGGCA
Molecule: transfer RNA, 72 nt
Filed under: Myotis brandtii (Brandt's bat)
Lineage: Eukaryota; Metazoa; Chordata; Mammalia; Chiroptera; Vespertilionidae
Rfam family: tRNA
About the family: Transfer RNA (tRNA) molecules are approximately 80 nucleotides in length. Their secondary structure includes four short double-helical elements and three loops (D, anti-codon, and T loops). Further hydrogen bonds mediate the characteristic L-shaped molecular structure. tRNAs have two regions of fundamental functional importance: the anti-codon, which is responsible for specific mRNA codon recognition, and the 3' end, to which the tRNAs corresponding amino acid is attached (by aminoacyl-tRNA synthetases). tRNAs cope with the degeneracy of the genetic code in two manners: having more than one tRNA (with a specific anti-codon) for a particular amino acid; and 'wobble' base-pairing, i.e. permitting non-standard base-pairing at the 3rd anti-codon position.
Source: Rfam by way of RNAcentral